UGUCCAGUAGCACCUUAGAGACCAACUAAGUUUGUUCUGGAUAUAAGCUUUCGUGUGCAUGCACACUUCUUCAGAUACACUUCAGUGCAUGCACACGAAAGCUUAUACCCAGAACAAACUUAGUUUGUCUCUAAGGUGCUACUGGACA
This 148-nucleotide microRNA precursor is filed under the name Podarcis lilfordi (Lilford's wall lizard). Lineage: Eukaryota; Metazoa; Chordata; Lepidosauria; Squamata; Lacertidae. The record is from RNAcentral.